AGGUGCUGCAGCACACCCCCUCCCUCCUUUCAUCUCGCCUUUUGGUCGGGAGGGGGGCAAAGGUAUGAUCGGCACGAGGGCAGUGGAUUUGGUUCCAGCAGAAACAACGAUCGUCCCUGUGUCGGCGGCGGCGUAUCGUUUCUGCAACGCAACACACGGGUCAGAUCAGUAGAUGCUCCGGCAUCAGCUGCCAUGCAUGUUCCUUCAGUUCCCGGGAAGGCUGAGGCUCCAUAGGUUGGCAAUUCGUGUUUCUGAACAGAGCAUGCGAUGUACCUUGCAGAUGCAGGGAUACAAGGGAUGCAGAUGGCGAGAUGCAGACACGGGCAAUUCGUUCUCUUGU
This 340-nucleotide long non-coding RNA is filed under the name Setaria viridis. RNAcentral's name for it is "long non-coding RNA (SVIR_LNC008284)". Lineage: Eukaryota; Viridiplantae; Streptophyta; Magnoliopsida; Poales; Poaceae. The record is from RNAcentral.